RNAcentral lists this ribosomal RNA (520 nucleotides) under uncultured Glomus. RNAcentral describes it as "SSU rRNA". It matches the Rfam family "Eukaryotic small subunit ribosomal RNA", at positions 569 to 1086 of the family's 1831-position model. Lineage: Eukaryota; Fungi; Glomeromycota; Glomeromycetes; Glomerales; Glomeraceae. The record is from RNAcentral.
AGCAGCCGCGGUAAUUCCAGCUCCAAUAGCGUAUAUUAAAGUUGUUGCAGUUAAAAAGCUCGUAGUUGAAUUUCGGGGUUAGUAGGUUGGUCGUGCCACUGGUACGUACUGGUCUCACUGAUUCCUCCUUCCUGAUGAACUGUAAUGCCAUUAAUUUGGUGUUGCAGGGAAACUGGACUGUUACUUUGAAAAAAUUUAGAGUGUUUAAAGCAAGCUAACGCUUGAAUACAUUAGCAUGGAAUAAUGAAAUAGGACGUUUGAUUCUAUUUUGUUGGUUUCUAGGAUCGACGUAAUGAUUAAUAGGGAUAGUUGGGGGCAUUAGUAUUCAAUUGCCAGAGGUGAAAUUCUUGGAUUUAUUGAAGACUAACUACUGCGAAAGCAUUUGCCAAGGAUGUUUUCAUUAAUCAAGAACGAAAGUUAGGGGAUCGAAGACGAUCAGAUACCGUCGUAGUCUUAACCAUAAACUAUGCCGACUAGGGAUCGGAUGAUGUCAAAAUUUUUUAAUGACUCAUUUCGGCGC